GAAGAGAAAUAGAAGGCGCGCUGAUGAACGAUCGAAACUUGAAGGGGGUGAGUAAAGCUAAGGGGAACGUCAGAGCAGAUGAGCCCUAAAAUAUGUACUUUGCCCUUAGACUAUUCAAAUUGUGCUAACAAUAGUUAGGAAUUGCACACCUUUGCCUUUCACACUACCAACCAAUCGUUAGAGCAUCUCCAACUGCCUAAGCAGAUGGAGUUUUUCACUCAAGAGGCGAGAUCAAGCACCGAAAUGGCAGACCCAGCAGCCUAGCUUCACGGUCGUCAAUCUGGCGUUCCGCUACAGUAACUCGUUGGUCCGAGCGAGCUACUGUAGCACUCGGUUGGUCCCCUCUCUCUCUCCCCUUGCCUUCACAACCACCAGAUCUGCCCGUUGUUGGUGUUGUUUGGCUCCGACGAGGGUAAGAAAGGAUACCCCUUCUCUGUCUUCUCUUCUUCUUCUAUGACAUGGGUGCAAUAUUCUGAAAAUUACUCGAUUGAGGGUUGCAAUUUUUGAGAUUUUCAGUGGGUUUCUGAAAAAUUACCGAUUGUGGGUUGCAAUUUUUGAGAUUUCAAGUGCGUUUCUGAAAAAUUAGUAAUUGUGGGUGGCAAUUUUUGAGAUUUCCAGUGGAUUGCAAUUUUCUUGGAGUAGAGAGAGAGAGGGGUAUGGCUGGUGGUGGUUACUAUGGAGGUGUCGGAGUUGGUGGUCACAGUGAAGAGGUGUUGUCGGGUUUUUUGUUUUGUUUUGUACUAUUAUUGUUUAUUAGUAUUUGCUUAGCCUAAAUUGCCUUGGCUGUUGGGAACUUCAAUUAUUUUGUGGCUAGCUAAACCAGUUUUUGAGGUAAUUCCUUGCUUAAAUGGCUAGAAACAGUUUGAGU
This is a long non-coding RNA of Rhododendron vialii, 868 nucleotides long. RefSeq lists it as uncharacterized. The transcript is spliced from 2 exons. NCBI's taxonomy places the organism in Eukaryota, Viridiplantae, Streptophyta, Magnoliopsida, Ericales, Ericaceae. The record is from RefSeq and is a predicted model, not a curated record.